GAUGAAGAACGCAGCGAAAUGGGAUAAGUAAUGUGAAUUGCAGAAUUCAGUGAAUCAUCGAAUCUUUGAACGCACAUUGCGCCCCCUGGUAUUCCGGGGGGCAUGCCUGUCCGAGCGUCAUUACAACCCUCAAGCUCAGCUUGGUGUUGGGCCCCGCCGCCCCGGCGGGCCCUAAAGUCAGUGGCGGUGCCGUCCGGCUCCGAGCGUAGUAAUUCUUCUCGCUCUGGAGGUCCGGUCGUGUGCUCGCCAGCAACCCCCAAUUUUUUUCAGGUUGACCUCGGAUCAGGCAGGGAUACCCGCUGAACUUAAGCAUAUCAAUAAGCGGAGGA
This 329-nucleotide unclassified non-coding RNA is filed under the name soil metagenome. RNAcentral describes it as "partial contains 5.8S ribosomal RNA, internal transcribed spacer 2, and large subunit ribosomal RNA". The stretch from base 1 to 120 matches the Rfam family "5.8S ribosomal RNA", at positions 35 to 154 of the family's 154-position model. The record is from RNAcentral.